GGAGAGGUGCCCGAGAGGCCGAAGGGAACGGUUUGCUAAAUCGUCGUAGGGGUAACUCUACCGAGGGUUCGAAUCCCUCCUUCUCCGCCA
This 90-nucleotide transfer RNA is filed under the name Myxococcota bacterium. RNAcentral describes it as "tRNA-Ser". It matches the Rfam family "tRNA". Rfam says of the family: Transfer RNA (tRNA) molecules are approximately 80 nucleotides in length. Their secondary structure includes four short double-helical elements and three loops (D, anti-codon, and T loops). The record is from RNAcentral. Lineage: Bacteria; Pseudomonadati; Myxococcota.